UGUUAUAUAUUUCAGAAACUCCAGAAAGGAACUUAAUGACAUACGGUUUGAGUUUACUCCAGGAAGAGAUACGGCAGAUGGUGUAUCUCAGGAGCUCUUCUCUGCUGGCUUGGUUGAUGGUCAUGAUGUAGUUAUAGUGGCUGCUAAUUUACAGAAGAUUGUAGAUGAUCCCAAAGCUUUAAAAACAUUGACAUUUAAGUUGGCUUCUGGCUGUGAUGGAUCGGAGAUUCCUGAUGAAGUGAAGCUGAUUGGGUUUGCUCAGUUGAGUGUCAGCUGAUGUAUGUCCCUUGAUGUCACCUGAUCUGUCAUGGCCCACCCCCACUCCUCUCGCCCUCCCUCUCCCUGCCCACUUGCUCCCACCCCCUCACUCCCAGUUCCCAGCAAAAUCAGAAGAUUGUGAAGAGUUUGGCUUCAACAAAAUUGGAUAAAAACAUAUUUUUUUAAAUGUACAACACUCCGAGUUCUGCUUUAUUCUCUAGCAAUCCACAGUAUGAGAACAAGCAAAUGCCACAGCUGCACGACUGUUGCUAAUUUUUCCAAAAGCUAUUUAAUAUUCUUAGCAAUCAAUUUGGAUAUCCCUUAAGUGAAAAAGAAUUUGAAAUACACUCAGGUGGUCCUAUUUAUUGGCAACAAAAGGAAUUUUCUAUCAGAAGCCUAUUUCUUCUUUCAUUGUUAUUUCUGUUAUAAUACUUUAAUUGUACAUCUGACAAUACUGCCUCUUUUAUGUUGUAUUUAGAAAUUAAUAUACUUAUAAAAUUAAGAUUUAUUAGCCAAACUUGAAUUCUAGUUUUAAAACUGACUGUGAAUUUUAUUUUUCAUAUAUUUAUGCAUCACACACCUUAGCUAUAAGAAAAAAAGGUUUUGAUUAUAUGCUUCUUGCAGUUAAUCUCUUGUUAUUUAAACAAAAAGUUUGGGGUCUAUCUUUGGAGUAUUUGUAACUUCUAAUCUUUGAAAUGACUGAAUUAGGAAUUUGGAUGCUUAUUCUUUUGGUUUGUUUGCCUAAAAACCAAUUCACAAUCUGAUUGUCUCUUGGGAGAGGGAGGUGCCUUGCAAACUUUCAUAUUAAGAAUGUGCCUGAGGCUUCUUCACUGGAAUAGUCUCAGAUCUAAAUUUUCCUCUACAUAAGGUGGCAUAUGUUAGGUUUUGCUUCAUUGGAACGUUUAGAAUGCUCUAUAAAAUGUCGCCAUUCUGUUAGAUUGCUAGCUAUAUACCCAUCUUUGAUUUGGCUCUCCUUAAGUGACAGGAUUUGUUAUUCUAAAGGUGAUAAACUUGAAAAUACCAGAAUCUGAGUUUUACUUGAAAUUCUGCAAAAUACCCAGGUGGAGUGAAAAUAAUAGAAAGGGUUUUGUGCAAUGCCUAGAAAAGGUAAAAUGUUGUUAAGUUUCAAGAAUAAAUACUUUCAAACCAAGUAGCCCUCUGCUUGACUAUAUAUAAUGGAACCUAGUAAACUUUAGGAUUUUCAAAAUUGGAGUCUCAACUUUCAGGGAGGUGGGCUCCCGGGAUGGUACCAUUGCUCUUUCCUAGCUAACCCUAGAUACGGCAGCUCUUUAAUGUACUUUAAAAAGCAAAUAUAUAUUACUAAGGAAAAAAAAGUUAUUUAUAAUUGCCUUGUCAUAAUUGUUAAGGUGUUCUAGAGCCAUUUGCAUACAAUUUAAUGUAAUUUCAUUCCAUUCUAUUGUUUACACAACGAUUACUCAAAGAUGACUGCAAAGGUAAAAGGAAAAUAAAAGUGUAUUGCACAAUGAGA
Carlito syrichta (Philippine tarsier) is the source of this 1747-nucleotide long non-coding RNA. RefSeq lists it as uncharacterized. The record is from RefSeq and is a predicted model, not a curated record. Lineage: Eukaryota; Metazoa; Chordata; Mammalia; Primates; Tarsiidae. The transcript is spliced from 4 exons.